GGAAGGGAAAAGAACAGCGGCAGUUCAAACUGGCUUGUAAAGUACAGCUGCUACCUUCAUCAUGAUCUCUUCAUUUUCAGUGUUGCUUCUGGCAACGGCAUCCUGUAUUUCUUCAUUAGACAUCACUCAGCCUGAGUUCCUGACUGUUCGACCUGGUGACACUCUGACUAUCAACUGUAAAGUCUCCUAUUCAGUUACUAGUUCGAGUAAUUAUGGAACAGGCUGGAUUCGUCAGCCUGCAGGAGAAGCUCUGGAGUGGAUUGGAGUGAUCUACUAUAGUGGGAGCUCAGACUACAAGGAUUCACUGAAAAACAAGUUCAGUAUCACCAGAGACACCUCCAGUAACACAAUCACAUUGAAGGGGAAUAAUAUACAAGCUCAAGACACAGCUGUGUAUUAUUGUGCUAGAUACACCACAAUGACAGACAAUUACAGCCUCCCUGUGUACAGUGUCAGACAUUCACUCAGUCUGAAGAAGCAGUUAAAAAACCUGGAGAAUCUCACAAACUUACAUGUACAAUAA
This is a non-coding RNA of Xyrauchen texanus (razorback sucker), 523 nucleotides long. The record is from the annotation of a RefSeq genome assembly. NCBI's taxonomy places the organism in Eukaryota, Metazoa, Chordata, Actinopteri, Cypriniformes, Catostomidae.